UGGGGAAUUUUGGACAAUGGGCGAAAGCCUGAUCCAGCCAUGCCGCGUGAGUGAAGAAGGCCCUCGGGUUGUAAAGCUCUUUUAGUCGGAAAGAAAGAGUUGCAAUGAAUAAUUGUGAUUUAUGACGGUACCGACAGAAAAAGCACCGGCUAACUACGUGCCAGCAGCCGCGGUAAUACGUAGGGUGCGAGCGUUAAUCGGAAUUACUGGGCGUAAAGGGUGCGCAGGCGGUCUUGCAAGUCAGAUGUGAAAGCCCCGGGCUUAACCUGGGAAUUGCGUUUGAAACUACAAGACUAGAGUGCAGCAGAGGGGAGUGGAAUUCCAUGUGUAGCAGUGAAAUGCGUAGAGAUGUGGAAGAACACCGAUGGCGAAGGCAGCUCCCUGGGUUGACACUGACGCUCAUGCACGAAAGCGUGGGGAGCAAACA
Molecule: ribosomal RNA, 427 nt
Filed under: uncultured beta proteobacterium
Lineage: Bacteria; Pseudomonadati; Pseudomonadota; Betaproteobacteria
Description: bacterial SSU rRNA
Rfam family: Bacterial small subunit ribosomal RNA
Source: RNAcentral